UGUAGCCCCGUGCAUGCAGCGCUCGGGAGUGGCCGGGAGCGUUUCCCAAAAGAGAGGAAAGUAAUAAACGUGGUGCUUGUGUGCGAGGCCUUGAUUUGUAUGUACGUCUGCGUCACUGGGACCGCUCCCUCUUCCCUGGCUGCCCGUUGACUUGUAGUAGCUGUUUGCUGAGGACCCAAAUGGGAAAGUGACGAUGUUGGAUCUUGACUCUGAAAGUAAAGUGACCUAAGUUUGUGGCAGUCGCUACCUUGACUCUGCUUCCAGCUGUGGAUGCUGAGAACUAAAAUGGAAAGACACAACUUCAGGACCUCUUACUUUCUUAGCCUCAAAGUCUUACUAUCAGCUUACUUUUAAGUUAGUAAGAGCGAAGUGAAAUCCUCUGGCUCAGAGAUAUUUUUGUGCUUAAUAUCAAGCAAAAUUUAAAUAAAUAUGGUUGAUAGUGUGUUAUUACAACAUACUAUAAAUCUUUCAUUGAGAAAGCCUUGACGUUGAAAAUUGGUUACAGAACCAACAGUGUAAAAUUUAGUUUGGCCCUUUAGUGGAAAAUAAAUAUUUUGCAUUGAAAGAUGAUAUUCUGACUUUUGAUUCAUACAAGGGCUGCUUUUCCUACUUCAUUAUGUUGGCCCAGGAUGUGGGAGGCAGGUGGUGGUGGUGUGGCAGUAGAGAUUGUAACCUUCCCACCAAUAUUCUGUUACAUUUUGUUGCCAUGCAACAGAUAGCAGCAGAGGGACAGUCUGACGAAAUGGUGCCUGACCUGGAAGUAUGGAUGAAGUAAAGGUAUGUAACUGAAUUCCUCCAUGUGGAAAAAAUGGCACCCACUGACAUCCAUCAAUGCUUGCUCCGUGUUAAUGAAGACCAAACAGUGGGUGUGAGUACAGUGAAAUUGUGGGUGAUGUGUUUCAGCAGUGAUGAUGGUGACAGUGGGUCACCUCUGCUGAUGCAGGUUUUUAUGAGCGCAGCAUGCAGGCCCUUGCCCAUCGCUGGUGAAAAUGCAUAGCUAAUGGUGGGGACUAUGUUGAAGCAGUAUUUUCAUGUCUUUUACUUCACCAUUGCCACUGCUGAAACACUGCUGAAACCUUUACUUCACACACACUUCUAUGUCAUACACCAUUUUGUCAUACUGCUCCUUGGCCAUAUUUCUCACAGCAUCAAAAUGUAGCAGAAUAUUGUUGGGAAGGUUCAGCUUCUGCUGCCAUACCAUGCCAACAUCUGCCUCUGACAUUGUCAUCCAACAUAAUAAAAUAGGAGGCAUUACUUUUGUAGGGACUCUUGUACUUUCUAAUGCUUAUGCAUUUAAAUGUAAGCGGAAGAAUUUCCUGGAAAAAUUUUACUCCUACUUUAAUGCACCUUACCAAUUAAGCAGUCUAACUGGAGACUUUAAAAGCUCUAAUUUUCCAAUUCAAGUUAAUGAUACCCUUUUAUUUUAGGUGUCUGCUGUAUAUUUUGCUUUGGCAGAAAAGCCCUGUAUGUUGUAAACCCCUGUGAUAGCUGAUGAGUGUAGCUAUUAAGACCCUUUUAAGGUAAGCAGUGUAAAUAUGUUUAGAAAACCCAGUGGUUUUCUAAACCUUUUUUCUGGGUGAUCAUGGGGAACAUGCAGGGACUGAGGCAUGGGUUAAAUGAGUUGCCCAUCAGAUGAAGUGAGAGUGUGGGGUUUUUUAGGGAAGGUAAUUGCCUCCCAGACGGUUUAUCCAGCUCCACGAUUCUGUCAGAAAAAAAGGCCAGUGUUCUGUUACAAGACAAAUUGUGCUGGGGUUCAGACUGUGUCCCACUUGCUAAAAGUAGCGUCAAAUGUUGAAGAGGAAGAUCUGCAAGUUUGAAUUGCCAGAGCUAGGAACAGCAAUUGAUGGCAAGUUUGAAUCAGAAUGUAGUAGCACGUGGAAUUCGGGAGCAGAUUUACUCAUAUGAGAUUUGUAUUUGUUAAAUCCAGUCAUAAUUCCUCUCUGCGACAGGGAAUUAAAUUUACAGAUACAACUGCUGUACCAGAGAGAGGUGCACAAAUUACUGUGCUUACAUUUUCCAUUUUAGCCCAAAGCUUUAGCUCAGGUUUUUAUAGAAUACAGAUGCAACACCUUAGAAUUCGGAAAAAAAGUUUUUCAGUUGAAGCCAUUGAAUUUGCUGCUAGUCAGAAACUUAAAAUUUGAAGUAAUAAGAAUUGUUUGAUAUGGCUGAAGAUUAUUCACGUGCCAUCAUCUGAAUGAUCAGUUUGUGAUACCUGGGGUGGAGGGUUCAAAAGAAUGGAGUACUCAUGGCCAUCAUUUAAACAGCUUAGUUGGUAGCGCUUAGAGAUUUUUGUAAAGAGGGUUAUAGGGUUAUAAACUAGAAGGCUUGGAAUUGUGAUUGUACUCUGCUGUUUACUUGCUGUAUAAUCCUGAAAGAGUGAUUUUGCCUUUGCCUCUGUUUUUUCAUCUGUGAAGUGAGAGUACCGGAUCUCAUGCUUCUGAGUAGCUUUUGGUUGUUGACAAUGUCCGCAAAUUGUUACAGAGGUAUUCUAGAAAAAAAAAAAAGUGAGAUUUCAUCGCUUUCUAUAAUCUGGGUGACAUUGUGAAGGUGACUAGAGCUAGAGGAGCUGUAUGUUUAUUUUUGGUUUGUCCAGCUACUCUAAAGUGAGACACCAAAAUUAUGUCAGUCGUUAGCCCCAUUGUUGGUGGGUAAGGGUUUAUGUCUUCCAUUGCAGGCUUCCCAGAUGUCAUGUUACUUAAUAGCUUUUUACAAAGAUUAGGACAUUCAGCUGCUACUGUAGUAGUCCUGGAAUGCUAAAAAUGUAGUCCCGGAAUACUAAAAAUACUCGUUGAUGUAAGUUUCAUAAUUGUAUGAUUUUUCUUUUUUAUUUCAUUCUGUUUUGCACGAUGUUGUAAGGGCAGAUGAUGAAAGGUAGGGCAACGAUGAGGAGAGUGCAGUUAGAAUGUAACGUGGUUUGGGGGAAAAUGAGGCCCAAUACCGUAGGAAGAUGAAUCCUUACACUAGAAAAUGAGUAAGACUCGGGCUCCAAUUACAGUUUCAGCCUCUAGUUUCUUGCUGAUAUUGUGUCUAGGAUAGCCCUUCCAGUAAUUCCUCAUUCUUUAAAUCCCCACAGUAGAGUAGGAGUGUGACAACUGAUGUCUCCUGUGACUGUCUCCAUUGUACAGUUAUGAAAAUAAUUUGUGGUUGUGAGUGACUGAACUUGCUUAAUUCCUCAAAACUGUCCCAGGGAAUGAGACUGUCACAUUCUCGAUAUGGUAACAGGUGGAUAUGUAUUUAGGUCAACUGGAGGAUAAACGCUAGAACUCAUGUAUAUUAAUGACUGUCAGACUUUGUGUGUAUGGGAAUUACUGCAUUGGUUGCUGAAUUCAGAACAAUGGCUCGUCAGUAAUGACAGGUGGGGGAGAAAUCUUUGGGAACUGUAGUACUGGGGGAGCUGUGUCUGCUUGGAUCAAGGAGGUAUGCGCAGAGGUGAGCUGACUGACAGGUGACUUUUUGAGAUUCUGACACCUUCGAAGUCUAUUUCUCAGACUCAGUUAAAACAGUUGCUGUUUUUUGGUUUGGUAUACACCUUGUAGCUUUUCAAAGUAUUUUAUCAUACCAUAUAGAUAAUCGGAAAAAUAAAAAUAAGCACGAGGAAGGGCUAACUUUAAAAGCAGUUGCUAAUGCCUUUGUGACGUAUUAGCAUUUGGAAGCUUUCAUUUGUAGAGAAAUGAAAUAUAUGAUUGAACAGCCUGUAAUAUCUGCGAGUCUGUAACUACACAAAGAAAAUGAAAAGCUGGAAUGACAAUUUUACAAGAAAUAUAAAAAACGAGUGCUCUUAAAUAAGGCAUAAGAAAAUGAGUAGCAGGCUGCUUUCUUGUAUGUAACAAUACAGAUGGACACGGCAGCGUCAUUGGUGGCACUGUUCAGAAUGUGUUUGGUGUAAUGCCAAAGUCUUCCCGAAGUUUCAGUGGAGCUCCAUGCGUCUGAUAUUAGAUAGACUUCGUUACCAAAAGCUUGUUGACAUAUAUCUGCAGCAUCAGCAUAUUCUAAAACUCUGAAUCAGCAAGGCUGGACAUACUUUGUAUGCAAUGAUGAAAACUAUCAAAUUACUUUUAAGGUACAAAAUAAGAAUACAUUUGUCCCAUUCAGUUUAAUAAGGCUGAUCAUCCAUUCAAAUAUUGAUGUUCAUUCCAUCACAGCCCAUCAGAUUAUUCAUUUAGAUCUCAGAAUCUGUACCAGUAGCUUAAAUGUAGUUGAACAUGAUAGUCCUAGAGACUGAAAAUGGGCUGGCUUCCUUCUGACUUGUAAGAACGAUUUACCUCGCUACACCCAUGAGAGACUGUGCCCUCAUCUGUCCAAUCUCCCCUGCUCUCCAGGACAGGAUUUUCCUUCCUGCAGGAGUAGCUGAACUGCACAAGAAGCUGCUAUUGAACUGUCACAGUUUCUGCCCAGUUUAUUUAGGUAUGUGGUGUUCUUUUACUUUUAUACCUCUGGGAGAUAAACUGCAGCGGUUUAGUUAUUGCUCCAUAUCCCACUCGUAGUGGAGGCAGCAAUCUUUAUAAGAGAUUCAUCACAGUGAAGACAUUGAACCUGAUCUAAAAAUUAUGAAAAUGGGUAUGGAGAGAAUAUUGGUACCCAAGAUUAAGCUGUCACUUACUGGAGUUAUCCACCAGCCUCCAGAAAUGGAAAACACAUUUCACUGAGAAGCUUGGGCAUCAGACUUUGAAUUCUGUUGUCUGUAAAGGUGAAUACAGUGUUGAAAUAGAACACUAUUUUUCAAGAAAGCACCUGUUUUUAUGUGCCACAUUGUGCAAGAAGGUAAGGGGAAAAAAGUGAACUUUGUGGAGCUGUUUGAUCUAAAAAUGCACUGGUUCUGUUUAGUGGUUGAAAGUGAGCAAAGAAGCAGGCAGGAAAUAAUACCAGCCUCUCUCUAAGAUUAAAGAUUGGUAACGGACAAUGUCCAAAUGAGGAAAAGGCCAGGAACAAGUAGUCUCAAGUUUUAAAAGGCAAUUUAUCAUGAGGAAAAUAACUUGGGGAAACUUUGUAAAAGCAGUGUCUGCAAUGUAUGAAAUAGGUCACUUUCCUAUGAAGUUCAGGCUUCAGAUAAGAACCACUGUAGUUAGAUUGUGUGUCAAGUAUUUUACUUUUGCUUUGAAUGCUUAUCCUGCUAUUAAACGAUGUGUUGGUUUCAAGAGAGUUGUCUGGUCAUUCAUCCCGAUCUCCAAUCCCAUUGUCAGAAAGAGGGAACUUAUGUGUUUAAGUGAACUACAACCACAGUAAAUACAAAACAGUAAUCCAGGGCUCAGUCUGAAGGCUGAAGAAUUCCAAGAGUCAAAAAAGGCAGAGGUGCAGCCAGUGAAUACAGAGUGGGUAGACAGGCACCCGGUCAUGCAAAUGGGAAUCUGCUCUGAAACACUAUCACUUCUCUGUUAAAAAGGUGAACGGGUUUGCUUUGAUUUGCAGUUACUGAAUUUUCUACCUUCCACUGUGAGAGUCAUUCAUUUUUUCUUCAGAAGAUACAGAGACUAAAUUCAAGUCAACCUUGUGUCUUUUAAAGGUAUUUAGAUUAACCAUCUUAAAUUCCUCACUAUAAAACAUUUUUUUCUAGCCUUUGAAUAAUUAUAUUUCCUGUGCCUUCUGCCCACCCUCCCCCAUUUCUUCUCUUUUUUUUUUUCUUUUUUAAAUAUACCGAUAUGGGACAUCAAUGCAGAAUCAGCCUCAGUAAAGCUGAGCAGUGAGGUUAAAACGCUCCUGAAUUUUGUGCUUGCCAAUCUUCUGCUUCUGUCAUCAGAAGAUCGAGUUAACACUACAACUUUCUGUUAGGAGUUCAUGUUUGUUGUCAGUUUUCUGUGACCAGUAGAGACUUGACACUGCUUCUCAAGCAACUCUCUGUGCUGCACUUACAGCUGUAAUGCCUGCUUGCUACCUGUACUACUUUGCAUUUGAAUGUAACUAAAUAAAAUUUUGAUUACAUUGAGUGUUGAGCAACAUAAAAUUUUCCCUGUGACUUCCUUAUAAUUGCUACUUCUUUGCUGAUUUUAUUACCCCGCAUUUAUCUGUGCUUGAUCUAUAUCACUCCUAGAUCACUGAUAAAAAUGUAGGAUAUCACUUGUCCUUCUACUUCUGAAAGCAAACUCAAAUGUCACGAUGGUUCCCCAUUUGCACUUUUUGACAUCUGUUGCUCGAACAGUAGUUAAUUCAUAUACAUGUUAGAUUUUCUUUGGAGUUUUUAAACAGAGGACAUCUCCUGAGUCAGCUUGAAUUGUUCAGUUUCACUCCUGUGACUUGUUUGCUUGAACAUCCACACCGUGUAGUAACAGACAGCUUCCAGGAUGCUUCUGUAGCUCAGAUGACACCCAGAAACAGUUCAGUGUCUUGGCUGCUCUAACUUACGCAGCCUGGUUCCUCCAGCCCAUCCUGGAUCUCCAAUGAUAUUUCAGUCAGCCUUUGUGUCCCCAUGACUUCAUACCAUGUCCUUACACUCAGCAUACAGCCUCAGUUUGGUCUAUUAUAACACAGACAUGGAGGACUGCCUCAUCACCCAUCUCAUUGUCUUGAUCACAUAGUAAAGAGGUUUUAAGGAACUUAAAAUCUGUGGCAUGCAUGAUGUUCAAAGGGGUCAGGAGGGAAAACAGGCUCAAUUGGCAGCACAGUCAGCUAUCGGGAGCCCAGAAGACAAGGCGAUAAUGGAGAAAUGUCUCUGGCCUCUGGGCAUGUGGCAGAGCCCCUCCAGGCUUUUGAGAUUUGGCUGCAUCCCUUGCUUGAUGCUUGAAAAAUUAAAGAGCAGAAUUAAAAGCAGCCUACAUUAAGGCUCUUAGUGAUGACGUAGUUGGGUGCUAAACGUCAAUUAAAGAAGGGUUGGUCAGAAACCUGUGGUGGCAGGGGCCAAGAUGGGGAUCAUUGGUGUUAAGGGCUGUCAAGUUCAACAUUUGGAGUUUCCUUAAGCAGUAUGUGAUUGCACUGCCUCCAGUUCUUCUAAGAGAUGCUGCCUGUGAGUAGAUUGGUAACAAGCAGCUCCAGGCCAACUAGGUGAGAGAACGGGGACCACUGAAAAAAGUCGUAAAGGCAACUCCACUGCACUGUUGUUCUGGCAGCCACUUAAUAUAAUUAUUUGGGAAGAUCCAUUAAAUUUUUCUUUGAAAAUUAUGUGUCUUUUGCUAGCACCAUUCCUUGAAAGAUAUUGUAGAGCUGCCGUCCCCUUCCUAAUCUUCUAGCUCCACCUCUAAAUUUAUUCAGGACUUGUUUAUAUUUAUGCCAGCAUUAUCUUUUCUGUUAAAUACUAUUGUUCCUGUGGGUUUUACCCUCUUGAUGUUUAUUUCUAGGUAGCAACUGUGUCCUUUCUCAAUAUUUGUUUCCCUUAGCUAAACAAGUUAUUUUAGUCUUUUCUCAUGAAACAGAAUUUCAGCUUCUCUUUUCACCUUAACAGACCUUUUGUGUAACUUCGGAAUUUGUGAGAUAAGGUUUGUAAGGAGAAGUAAUAUAUUUUAUUAGAUCACUGAUAUAGUUAGAAAAAAUAGAAAAGCUUUUGGGUAUACAGGUUAUUCUCACAUAUGCCCAAAGCUUACCAGCUUUUUUUUUCCAACUGUUUCAAUUGUCUAAUAAAAGAUAUUGCUUCUGCCUACAAGCAUUUCCUCUCAUAUGUUCUUAGACAUUAUUGACUACACCAUACAUCUUUUGAGUUAAUCUUUUCUGAAAUAUUUUAUAGAAUUCCAUCCUCCCAAAUAUUUCAGAUUUUGCCAAUAUGACAGAUGAAUAGCUGCCUCUAUGUUUCUUGGAAACACCCGGUACAUUUUAGGAUUGCCUUUGAACUUACAGGCCAGCUUACAUUUGCACCUCAACAUCUGUACCUGAGACAUCAUUAUGCACAGGUUUUUGUCCUACAAGUAGCCAGCAGCCUACUUCCCUUCAGUUCGUGAGUGAUGGUUUUCUUCCUGUACCAUAUUCCUAUUUUUCCCCAGUUUGGUUUCUUGUCACUACCUCACCUACUCAAGCAUCCCACUUUUUGUGCUAGGUCAGAAGGGACACACCACUGGCUUCUUUCAACAAAAGUUUGAUUUUUUUGGCACACCCAGGCUUUUCUUAGCUUCCCAGAGUAUACAACCAUAGAAAUUUCUGUGCUCACACAAGAGCUGUGAUAUCCUCCAAGUAGGAUGUAUGAGAUAGUGGAAAGAACCCUUCAGUACCUUUCAAAAAUGUGAAUUUGAAUUCUGAAAUCCAUUAAUAUUUUAAAAUAAAUAUUGCACAAUAUCUGUUACGUUAAAAAAAUAUUUUUAAAUCUCAGUAGUAUAGUAAAAGCCUGGUCUAAACUCUAUUGAAGUAAGUGGGAAGAAGCUGAGCAACUUGAACAGCAAGAGUAAGAUGCCAUGAAUACGUUGCCCAGAAAGCACACUCUGCCCGAGGGCUUUCCCCAGAGGAGUGGAUGAGGUGAGAGCUGGGAUACGUGAAGCUCAUCCAGUGAUUCAUGCCUGAGCAGAACAGCUCAUCUAAGGGGAUGGAGGGUCCCUCAGUGACAUUCAAGCUGCAUUUUUGAUACAAUUUUGAGGGGUGUUUUUUUUCUUUCCAAAAGUCUUCCUAUUCUCUGAUCCAAACAAUAAAUAACCCAGACAAAAUGAUAUAACAAGUAGAUGUCCCAUAUAAAGGAAUGAUAUGCUACGUAAGUAUUGUGCAUACUCCUCUUGAACGGUCUAUUUUAAGUGAUUUCUUAGGAAAUUUUAUGCGUUUGUAUAUGCAAAGAUUUGGCUGGACUCACCAAUCUUUUUUUUUUAAUAAACCAGCAUAAAGUAGAAUUUAUUUACAUAAUGCAAUGAUCCAUGAAGGUUACCAUAACAUCAAGGGACCAUAUUAACCGCUUGAAUGGAAUUCAUUAGAAAUUAACUACCACUUAAAUUAAUUUUCCCACAUUCACAAGGCUGUAAUGGUGGAAAAAGGAACCGUCCAUCAGCAUGUACUGACAGGAGAGCUGUCACUGCCUUUAUUUAUAGGUGAAUACAUUAACCCAUGAAGCAGCCUUUUCAGACCAAAUCUUGAGCUUCUGUACAAAUAAGCUCCUUCGGAAGACUUUACUUUUAAUAAGAAAUCCAGCCUCAGUUCAACAGGAACACAUUCUGCCUAAUGCUUUUGCUGCUGGCUAUGUAUUGUAGCCUUUUCAUAAGAACAGUAGAAAAAUCUGCUCCCGAAAUGCCCUAACCUCACACUGUAUGUGGUUUAUUUUUAGGAGUUCAUAUUAUUGAUGAGAUUCCAGUUAUACUGUGUUAUUAGUGUUGGGGAAACCAUAUAAACAAAAGAAUAUGGUCCUCUGAAUUUUUUAGCUGUCUUACACAUGCAAAAGUGUCCAUGCGAUGGGAUGAAAGAAUGUGAGACUGCGCCCAUGUAUGACCUAGUACUAUGGACAAAUUUACUGUAGUACAUUGCGGUAGUUAAUCUGAACCUAAGCUACAAUAAGAAUGAACUUCGUGGCACCUGUUAGGUGACCAUAGUUGCUACAAAUGAAUAUGACAUUGGAGUGUGGUGUUGUCAUCUAAACCUCAUACCUGAAACAUGCUUAGGUUGGUUUCCUGAGCAGCUUUUUCCUGAAUAAUUAUAGCUCCGAAAUAAGAGCUGGCCCUUAACAAUUAAUAAUAUAUAUGUUGGUUUUUUUUUUAACAGAGAAACUUCAGUAAGGAAAUGAUAGGACUGUCAGUUUUUAAGAAACACCCUCUAUCUUUUAGUAUUAAAAUAACUGGGGAAGGUCUGUUUUACAAUAUUUUUAGUUAGAUGCAUUCGUAUCAAAUAACAGUGGUGGCACGACACAGAUGUGGCUGUGUGCCAGCAGUGUUGCUCACUGAAGUGUUUCACUCUUGAUGCUGACAAGAAAGAGAAAAUACAAAAGUUACAGAGAAUCUAAUGGUGGUGUCUGCACUUUCUUUCAGUUCUCCUUUACAGUUUCCAUGCCAGUGCGAAGGAAGAUUCCCCAACCCUGUAUCUGGUAUGAGGACUUUGGAGGGCUUUCUCAGGUUACCGCUGGCUUUUCUGGAAUACUUACUUUAGAAUUAACUUCUGUCACAGAAAACAUAAUCUGAAGCAUCUACUAUAUAUUACUUCUGAGCAUUCCUGCUAUAAAGAGGGAAAAUAGUACAUUGUGUAUGACAAGUGUGAUUACAAGGUUAUAGAACCUCCUUAUGUUUCCCUUGUUGUUAUGGUUUCUCCUUAAGAAAAGCUUGUCAUUGGAAACAUAAAUGAAUUCUUCCUUUCAAAGAUGCAAGUAUAUCACACUAUCAAGCAGUACAUUGUAAUGAAUGUAAUUUUUAAUUGAUUUAUAAUACUUUAAAUUCCUGCAUCCUGAAAACCCUCAAUAUUCUACAUGCAAUCCAGUCAUGUAUCACUUUUGAAAUAUUUCAGAGGAGGAAAGAGAUUUUUAUGAUACAUCCCUAAGUGCUCUGAUGAUUAUACAUGCUGUAACCUAUUUCUUCAUAAAUGCAUUCCAUCUUUAAUUUUGUCCUCCUUAAGAUACAAUCAUCAUGGCAUACUUUUAUUCAUAAAGAUUGUUCUUUUACAUA
Molecule: long non-coding RNA, 10478 nt
Organism: Numida meleagris (helmeted guineafowl)
Lineage: Eukaryota; Metazoa; Chordata; Aves; Galliformes; Numididae
Exons: 2
Source: RefSeq, a predicted model, not a curated record